This 71-nucleotide transfer RNA is filed under the name Exallonyx sp. ZJUH_2016014. RNAcentral describes it as "tRNA-Ala". Lineage: Eukaryota; Metazoa; Arthropoda; Insecta; Hymenoptera; Proctotrupidae. The record is from RNAcentral.
AGGAUUGUAGUUAAAAUUAAAUAACAAUUAAUUUGCAAUUAAUAAUUAUUAUUUCAAAAUAAGCUAUCUUA